Molecule: ribosomal RNA, 253 nt
Filed under: uncultured bacterium
Lineage: Bacteria
Description: partial 16S ribosomal RNA
Rfam family: Bacterial small subunit ribosomal RNA
Source: RNAcentral
UACGAAGGGGGCUAGCGUUGCUCGGAAUCACUGGGCGUAAAGCGCACGUAGGCGGCUUUCUAAGUCAGGGGUGAAAUCCUGGAGCUCAACUCCAGAACUGCCUUUGAUACUGGAGAGCUUGAGUCCGGAAGAGGUGAGUGGAACUCCGAGUGUAGAGGUGAAAUUCGUAGAUAUCUGGAGGAAUACCGGUGGCGAAGGCGGCUACCUGGCCCAACAUUGACACUGAGACCCGAAAGCGUGGGGAUCAAACAGG